UCUAUCUUGUUUGGUUACAUGGGUAUCAAA
RNAcentral lists this non-coding RNA (30 nucleotides) under Rattus norvegicus (Norway rat). Lineage: Eukaryota; Metazoa; Chordata; Mammalia; Rodentia; Muridae. The record is from RNAcentral.